GACGAACGCUGGCGGCGUGCUUAACACAUGCAAGUCGAACGCUGAAGCUCAGCUUUUGUUGGGUGGAUGAGUGGCGAACGGGUGAGUAACACGUGAGUAACCUGCCCCCUUCUUUGGGAUAACGCCCGGAAACGGGUGCUAAUACUGGAUAUUCACUGGUCUUCGCAUGGGGGUUGGUGGAAAGGGUUUUUCUGGUGGGGGAUGGGCUCGCGGCCUAUCAGCUUGUUGGUGGGGUGAUGGCCUACCAAGGCUUUGACGGAUAGCCGGCCUGAGAGGGUGACCGGUCACAUUGGGACUGAGAUACGGCCCAGACUCCUACGGGAGGCAGCAGUGGGGAAUAUUGCACAAUGGGCGCAAGCCUGAUGCAGCGACGCCGCGUGAGGGAUGGAGGCCGUCGGGUUGUGAACCUCUUUCGCUCAUGGUCAAGCCGCAACAAUGGUUGUGGUGAGGGUAGUGGGUAAAGAAGCGCCGGCUAACUACGUG
This 483-nucleotide ribosomal RNA is filed under the name uncultured bacterium. RNAcentral's name for it is "partial 16S ribosomal RNA". It matches the Rfam family "Bacterial small subunit ribosomal RNA", at positions 28 to 507 of the family's 1533-position model. The record is from RNAcentral.